AGCGAACGUUAGCGGCGCGCCUAACACAUGCAAGUCGCACGAGAAAGGGAGCAAUCCCCGGUACAGUGGCGCACGGGUGAGUAACGCGUAGAUGACCUUCCCUGGAGUGGUGGAUAACCUGCCGAAAGGCGGGCUAAUACAGCAUGGGACCACAUGGUUUUGACCGAGUGGUGAAAGCGGGCCUCUGUUCACAAGCUCGCGCUCUGGGAUGGGUCUGCGUCCCAUCAGCUAGUUGGUGAGGUAAUGGCUCACCAAGGCAUCGACGGGUAGCUGGUCUGAGAGGAUGACCAGCCACACUGGAACUGAGACACGGUCCAGACUCCUACGGGAGGCAGCAGUGGGGAAUCUUGCGCAAUGGGCGAAAGCCUGACGCAGCGACGCCGCGUGGGUGAUGAAGGCC
RNAcentral lists this ribosomal RNA (400 nucleotides) under uncultured bacterium. Its description in RNAcentral is "bacterial SSU rRNA". It matches the Rfam family "Bacterial small subunit ribosomal RNA", at positions 29 to 416 of the family's 1533-position model. The record is from RNAcentral.